Long non-coding RNA from Oncorhynchus tshawytscha (Chinook salmon), 5300 nucleotides. NCBI's taxonomy places the organism in Eukaryota, Metazoa, Chordata, Actinopteri, Salmoniformes, Salmonidae. The record is from Ensembl.
AUAUAUAUAUAUUUUUUAAAGCAAUAUGCACAUGUUUAUUGUGUGAUAUUUACAUAUCUACAGUAUGACACAGCACUACGCUGUGAUGAUGCACGCUGACACAGAUUGCACCGCUAUGGGUUAGUUAGGCCACAGUGGCAGGUUACCAUGGUGUUUAGACUCUAGACCAAAGGGGUGGGUAACCCUGCUCUUGGAGGGCUGCAGGCACUUCAUGUUUACGACUUAACCAACCUGGAAGACCAGAUGUGUUGAAUAUAGGCAAUCACUUGAACUGAUCCAUUAACUAAGUGUCACGGUGUGGUGCCGAGUCGGGACAAAAUGCUGCAGCACCUACAACACCCCAGGAAAAUGGUUCCCUACCCUCGACCAUGUCAAGUAUAGCUACAGUAUAAUAUACAUCUUUUGGCUUCAUGAAGGAUGGUAGAACAAUGUGAACAAUGCAACAUUCAGAGUACCAUGACUGAGAGACACGGGAACAGACAGCAGACAGUUCUUUUGUUGAUCGAGGACUCUCUAGUCCCGUUUAUACCUGGCGCUAGCAUACGUCCUUUUUGUCCUGAUCUUGUCCUCAUUCUAAUUGAGCACAGAGAGAUAGAGACAGAGAGAGGGACAGAGAGAGAGAGACAGAAAGAGAGACAGAGAUAGAAAGAGAAAGAGAGAGAGACAGAGAGAGGGACAGAGAGAUAGAGACAGAGAGAGGGACAGAGAGAUAGAGACAGAGACAGAGAUAGAAAGAGAAAGAGAGAGACGGAGAAAUAUGGAUGUAGUGGGUGUUCUUGGUUAGGAGAGAUAGUGUAAAGAUCAGAUCACUGAUAACCUUUUGGCUUUAUUAUGUUCUCUCUGUGUAGAGGAUAUAGGAUACAGAGACACACAGGGGAGGAAGAAGCCCUGCUAGUGUAAACCUCUUACUGUCAACAGGGAGAGUAGAUCCCUAGAUCCCGUGCAUAGAGAGACUAUUCCUAUCUCUCUGAGGGUAAGUAGAUCCCUAGAUCCCAUGCAUAGAAAGACUGUUCUUAUCUCUCUGAGGGACAGUAGAUCCCUAGAUCCCAUGCAUAGAAAUACUGUUCCCAUCUCUCUGAGAGACAGUAGAUCCCUAGAUCCCAUGCAUAGAAAUACUGUUCCUAUCUCUCUGAGGGUAAGUAGAUCCCUAGAUCCCAUGCAUAGAAAUACUGUUCCUAUCUCUCUGAGGGACAGAGGAUCCCUAGAUCCCAUGCAUAGAAAUACUGUUCCUAUCUCUCUGAGGGACAGUAGAUCCCUAGAUCCCAUGCAUAGAAAUACUGUUCCUAUCUCUCUGAGGGACAGUAGAUCCCUAGAUCCCAUGCAUAGAAAGACUGUUCCUAUCUCUCUGAGGGUAAGUAGAUCCCUAGAUCCCAUGCAUAGAAAGACUGUUCCUAUCUCUCUGAGGGUAAGUAGAUCCCUAGAUCCCAUGCAUAGAAAGACUGUUCCUAUCUCUCUGAGGGACAGUAGAUCCCUAGAUCCCAUGCAUAGAAAGACUGUUCCUAUCUCUCUGAGGGUAAGUAGAUCCCUAGAUCCCAUGCAUAGAAAUACUGUUCCUAUCUCUCUGAGGGACAGUAGAUCCCUAGAUCCCAUGCAUAGAAAGACUGUUCCUAUCUCUCUGAGGGACAGUAGAUCCCUAGAUCCCAUGCAUAGAAAGACUGUUCCUAUCUCUCUGAGGGUAAGUAGAUCCCUAGAUCCCAUGCAUAGAAAGCCUGGUUGCAACCUGAAAGGUUAUCACUGUUGUGUCUAUGGUGCCUAAAGCAUCUCCUGAUGUAUUUGAACAUCCCCAGCCCACACUGUUAUAGGAAGAGACAAUAGAUAGAACAUGAGGAAAGAGGUGGAGGAGAGACAGGCAGAGAAAGAGGUGGAGGAGAGACAGGCAGAGAAAGAGGUGGAGGAGAGACAGGCAGAGAACGAGGUGGAGGAGAGACAGGCAGAGAAAGAGGUGGAGGAGAGACAGGCAGAGAACGAGGUGGAGGAGAGACAGGCAGAGAAAGAGGUGGAGGAGAGACAGGCAGAGAAAGAGGUGGAGGAGAGACAGGCAGAGAAAGAGGAGGAGGAGAGACAGGCAGAGAAAGAGGUGGAGGAGAGACAGGCAGAGAACGAGGUGGAGGAGAGACAGGCAGAGAAAGAGGUGGAGGAGAGACAGGCAGAGAAAGAGGUGGAGGAGAGACAGGCAGAGAACGAGGUGGAGGAGAGACAGGCAGAGAAAGAGGUGGAGGAGAGACAGGCAGAGAAAGAGGAGGAGGAGAGACAGGCAGAGAAAGAGGUGGAGGAGAGACAGGCAGAGAACGAGGUGGAGGAGAGACAGGCAGAGAAAGAGGUGGAGGAGAGACAGGCAGAGAAAGAGGAGGAGGAGAGACAGGCAGAGAAAGAGGAGGAGGAGAGACAGGCAGAGAAAGAGGAGGAGGAGAGACAGGCAGAGAAAGAGGAGGAGGAGAGACAGGCAGAGAAAGAGGAGGAGGAGAGACAGGCAGAGAAAGAGGAGGAGGAGAGACAGGCAGAGAACGAGGUGGGGGAGAGACAGGCAGAGAAAGAGGAGGAGGAGAGACAGGCAGAGAAAGAAGAGGAGGAGAGACAGGCAGAGAAAGAGGAGGAGGAGAGACAGGCAGAGAACGAGGUGGGGGAGAGACAGGCAGAGAACGAGGUGGGGGAGAGACAGGCAGAGAACGAGGUGGGGGAGAGACAGGCAGAGAACGAGGUGGGGGAGAGACAGGCAGAGAACGAGGAGGAGGAGAGACAGGCAGAGAACGAUGUGGGGGAGAGACAGGCAGAGAAAGAGGUGGGGGAGAGACAGGCAGAGAACGAGGUGGGGGAGAGACAGGCAGAGAAAGAGGUGGGGGAGAGACAGGCAGAGAACGAGGAGGAGGAGAGACAGGCAGAGAACGAGGUGGGGGAGAGACAGGCAGAGAAAGAGGAGGAGGAGAGACAGGCAGAGAACGAGGUGGGGGAGAGACAGGCAGAGAACGAGGUGGGGAGAGACAGGCAGAGAAAGAGGAGGAGGAGAGACAGGCAGAGAAAGAGGAGGAGGAGAGACAGGCAGAGAAAGAGGUGGGGGAGAGACAGGCAGAGAACGAGGUGGAGGAGAGACAGGCAGAGAAAGAGGAGGAGGAGAGACAGGCAGAGAACGAGGUGGGGGAGAGACAGGCAGAGAACGAGGUGGGGGAGAGACAGGCAGAGAACGAGGUGGGGGAGAGACAGGCAGAGAAAGAGGAGGAGGAGAGACAGGCAGAGAACGAGGUGGGGGAGAGACAGGCAGAGAAAGAGGAGGAGGAGAGACAGGCAGAGAAAGAGGUGGAGGAGAGACAGGCAGAGAAAGAGGUGGAGGAGAGACAGGCAGAGAAAGAGGUGGAGGAGAGACAGGCAGAGAAAGAGGUGGAGGAGAAACAGGCAGAGAAAGAGGUGGAGGAGAGACAGGCAGAGAAAGAGGAGGAGGAGAGACAGGCAGAGAAAGAGGUGGAGGAGAGACAGGCAGAGAAAGAGGUGGAGGAGAGACAGGCAGAGAAAGAGGAGGAGGAGAGACAGACAGAGAAAGAGGUGGAGGAGAGACAGGCAGAGAAAGAGGUGGAGGAGAGAGAUGUGCUAAUGCUGCUGCUAUCUGGUGGUGGCUAACCUGCACUGCAGGUAAAACACAAUAGAGUAGGGGUGGGUGGAUGGAUGGGGACAUUUCACAAUGAAACCCGUACACACACACCAUUAUAUUCUAUGAGUAUAAUUCUAAAAUAAACAUAUAUAAUAGAACACAUAUCUUCUUUUACACAUUUCAUCAUAUCAAGACAUAAUCCAGAUGACUUUACACAUCAACAAAAAAAAAACAUUAGUAAUGCUGGAAUAUGAGCUGCCUAAUAAAAGCCUGAUAAUGCCAUUGGGGUGGGAAACCGUUCAGAUCAGCACAGAGGAUAACGCUUUAAAGUCUCUCACUCCAAUGAUUCCUUGUUACAGUCCAAACCCUACUUUCCCUUGAGACGUACAGUGUAGUAAAAAAACAAACAAAAAAAAGAAGCAUUUCCCAGCAUUCCAAGGACCAGAGUCACAUCAUAAUGGUAAUGCAUUUUGUGUCACAAUGACCAGCAUCAACACACAGAAGAACCACAGGAAGACAGCAGGAGUGCACGCAGGAGUGCACGCAGGAGUGCACGCAGGAGUGCACGCAGGAGUGCACGCAGGAGUGCACGCAGGAGUGCACGCAGGAGUGCACGCAGGAGUGCACGCAGGAGUGCUCACCACAGCAAAACGUUAUGCAGCUGAAGAAAGCGAAAGGUCGUCCCAUCCUGUUUCAGUUCAGAUUGUUUUUCCGUUUAGUGCCUAAUGAAUAUGACCCACGGGACAGGGGAUACCUCUUCAUUAUAGUUAUAUACCCUGAUAAUUUAAUAUGUUUUGUUCCCCAAUAUAAUAUUUAGAAUAAUAUAUACAUCACGUAUGUACUUUGUAAUCAUGUCAUAUUAUAUUAUGGAGCAUCUAUGGAUAUGGCUGUGCCGUGUGUGUGUGUGUGUGUGUGUGUGUGUGUGUGUGUGUGUGUGUGUGUGUGUGUGUGUGUGUGUGUGUGUGUGUGUGUGUGUGUGUGUGUGUGUGUGUGUGUGUGUGUGUGUGUGUGUGUCUUGCCAGCCGCUCUCCUCCCAGUGGUAAACCACCUCCCAGACGUCACCACUUCAACAACCACCGUACAGAACUUUCAUCAACACGUUGAGAAGUUGAUACACCUGUCAGUCAAGGUCUGGGGGAUUCAGACACGGCAAAGCAGGUCCUUGUGACAGUGCAUUCUCCUGACAUUACUCCCAUUCUCCUGACAUUACUCCCAUUCUCCUGACAUUACUCCCAUUCUCCUAACAUUACUCCCAUUCUCCUAACAUUAAUCCCAUUCUCCUAACAUUAAUCCCAUUCUCCUGACAUUACUCCCAUUCUCCUAACAUUACUCCCAUUCUCCUAACAUUAAUCCCAUUCUCCUGACAUUAAUCCCAUUCUCCUAACAUUAAUCCCAUUCUCCUGACAUUAAUCCCAUUCUCCUAACGUUAAUCCCAUUCUCCUGACAUUAAUCCCAUUCUCCUGACAUUACUCCCAUUCUCCUAACAUUAAUCCCAUUCUCCUAACAUUAAUCCCAUUCUCCUGACAUUAAUCCCAUUCUCCUAACAUUAAUCCCAUUCUCCUGACAUUAAUCCCAUUCUCCUAACAUUAAUCCCAUUCUCCUGACAUUAAUCCCAUUCUCCUAACAUUAAUCCCAUUCUCCUGACAUUAAUCCCAUUCUCCUAACAUUAAUCCCAUUCUCCUAACAUUAAUCCCAUUCUCCUAACAUUAAUCCCAUUCUC